UUGCAUGAUGAAUGGCACUGGGCUCCGACAAGCAUGACGGAUAUGCCACAUUGCGGCAGGCCUAGAAAACCUCGCCCACUGAUU
Small nucleolar RNA from Macrophomina phaseolina MS6, 84 nucleotides. It matches the Rfam family "A. fumigatus snoRNA Afu_513". NCBI's taxonomy places the organism in Eukaryota, Fungi, Ascomycota, Dothideomycetes, Botryosphaeriales, Botryosphaeriaceae. The record is from Rfam.